GCUGGGCAUGGUGGCACAUGCCUGUAGUCCCAGCUACUCGGGAGGCUGAGGUGGGAGAAUCACUUGAGCCCAGGAGGUCCAGGCUGCAGUGAGCGGAGAUCACACCACUGCACUCCAGCCUGGGCAACAGAGUGAGACUCCUGCCUCAA
RNAcentral lists this signal recognition particle RNA (149 nucleotides) under Nomascus leucogenys (northern white-cheeked gibbon). RNAcentral describes it as "Metazoan signal recognition particle RNA". It matches the Rfam family "Metazoan signal recognition particle RNA". Rfam says of the family: The signal recognition particle (SRP) is a universally conserved ribonucleoprotein. It is involved in the co-translational targeting of proteins to membranes. The eukaryotic SRP consists of a 300-nucleotide 7S RNA and six proteins: SRPs 72, 68, 54, 19, 14, and 9. The record is from Rfam by way of RNAcentral. Lineage: Eukaryota; Metazoa; Chordata; Mammalia; Primates; Hylobatidae.